AACGAACGCUGGCGGCAUGCCUAACACAUGCAAGUCGAACGAGUGCCUUCGGGUGCUAGUGGCGCACGGGUGCGUAACGCGUGGGAAUCUGCCCUUUGGUUCGGAAUAACAGUUGGAAACGACUGCUAAUACCGGAUGAUGACGAAAGUCCAAAGAUUUAUCGCCAGAGGAUGAGCCCGCGUAGGAUUAGCUAGUUGGUG
RNAcentral lists this ribosomal RNA (200 nucleotides) under uncultured bacterium. Its description in RNAcentral is "partial 16S ribosomal RNA". It matches the Rfam family "Bacterial small subunit ribosomal RNA", at positions 29 to 254 of the family's 1533-position model. The record is from RNAcentral.